Molecule: unclassified non-coding RNA, 364 nt
Filed under: uncultured fungus
Lineage: Eukaryota; Fungi
Description: partial contains small subunit ribosomal RNA, internal transcribed spacer 1, and 5.8S ribosomal RNA
Rfam family: Eukaryotic small subunit ribosomal RNA (bases 1-73)
Source: RNAcentral
GCAAACUUGGUCAUUUAGAGGAAGUAAAAGUCGUAACAAGGUUUCCGUAGGUGAACCUGCGGAAGGAUCAUUAUUGAACUUUGAACCUUGUAGUUGAGCUGGCUCUUAACGGAGCAUUGUGCUUGCUACAUUGUCUUCUUUGUCCACCUGUGCACCUUUUGUAAACGUCUGGAUAACUAUCGCUCAACUAUGUUGAAGCGGAUUGCUGAAUUGAAGUGAUUCUUUCAGUGCUUUCCAGUUCGUUUAUGUUUAUAUCUUCUCAAGUAUGUUUAGAAUGUCUUGUUUACUGGACUCUGUCCUUUAACAACUUAAUACAACUUUCAACAACGGAUCUCUUGGCUCUCGCAUCGAUGAAGAACGCAGC